This 402-nucleotide ribosomal RNA is filed under the name uncultured bacterium. Its description in RNAcentral is "bacterial SSU rRNA". It matches the Rfam family "Bacterial small subunit ribosomal RNA", at positions 29 to 416 of the family's 1533-position model. The record is from RNAcentral.
AACGAACGUUAGCGGCGCGCCUAACACAUGCAAGUCGCACGAGAAAGGGCUUCGGCCCCGGUAAAGUGGCGCACGGGUGAGUAACACGUGGGUAAUCUGCCCUCGAGCGGGGGAUAACAUUCCGAAAGGAGUGCUAAUACCGCAUAAGACCACGACCUCGAAAGAGGAUGCGGUCAAAGCUGGCCUCUAUAUAUAAGCUAGCACUUGAGGAUGGGGUCCGCGGCGCANCAGCUAGUUGGUGGGGUAAUGGCUCACCAAGGCUAAGACGCGUAGCUGGUCUGAGAGGAUGAUCAGCCACACUGGAACUGAGACACGGUCCAGACUCCUACGGGAGGCAGCAGUGGGAAUCUUGCGCAAUGGGCGAAAGCCUGACGCAGCGACGCCGCGUGAGUGACGAAGGCC